Scophthalmus maximus (turbot) is the source of this 722-nucleotide long non-coding RNA. RefSeq lists it as uncharacterized. The record is from RefSeq and is a predicted model, not a curated record. Lineage: Eukaryota; Metazoa; Chordata; Actinopteri; Pleuronectiformes; Scophthalmidae. The transcript is spliced from 3 exons.
AGCCCAAAUUCCAAAAAUCAUAAGAGGUCCAACUUAAAGUUCGGGUAGGCAUGUUUUGUGAGAAGCACUUUCUGUUAUAUAACUCGAAACUGUCGUAACACACCGAUAGCGAUGAAUACAUUGAAUGAUCCGACACUGAAAUGAAAACAAUCCCUCAUCUGUGGCCGCGGCAGGACUGUAAAAACCACGACCAAUCAGAAAGUUCGGUCCGAAGAAAGCGAUUGGAUGAACCGGCUUUCUCCUGCCUGCGCGCACUCUGCUCGUUCUCUUGCAUGGCGUCGGCAAACAACCGGAGCACAGGCUACAGCUACAGAGCUAAAGCUACGGAGCCAGAGCUACAGUUAGCAGAUGAGUUGCUGCACUGAACUAAAGAAGAAAAGGGUUGCAGAACGGCAGAGAAAGUGCCUACAACAGCUUCCAGUCGCAACAGACAGAGCAGUAGAGAAGGCUACGGACUAAAAGAGGUUGGAUACUACGAGGAGGAGUGAACAGAGUAAACAUCGGUGUGGCUCUUCAACGUUGACGUCAACUCCGGGAGGAGAAGAGGGUGAAAGGUACAGCAAGUUGUACAUGAAGAAGUCCAGGACCUGGAAGUUUUACACACUGAAGGUUGUCUGCCACGGACCAGACGAUCCCGUCAACAGCUAGAGCAGCGAGUCAGCAGAGGACCAGAUUCUGAACCUCAGAACUACUUGUUAUGAUCUUCAAUAUUUAUCUAAACA